Raphanus sativus (radish) is the source of this 991-nucleotide long non-coding RNA. RefSeq lists it as uncharacterized. The record is from RefSeq and is a predicted model, not a curated record. NCBI's taxonomy places the organism in Eukaryota, Viridiplantae, Streptophyta, Magnoliopsida, Brassicales, Brassicaceae. The transcript has 4 exons.
UUCGACCUCUUUCUCUCUGUCUAUAUGUUUGUAGCCCCGCCGUCUACAUCUCCUCUCUGUGUGUUGAAGCUUGAAAGAUUGAAGAUGGAGCUGGUUCUAGUGUGAAAGCUGCUGUCCGAACGAUUCUGAAUCAGGGUGGUUUGUACACGUCGAAGACCCUCCAUACCUUCUCAAAGUAGUUCCUUUCACUCAACCCUUUACAGACCAAAUCCUAAGAGUGCUGCUCAUGUUCCUUUCACUCAACCCUUUCACGAGUCUCUCUUCAUUCCUAUCCCAUCACCACAGUCAUGUCGUAAUCUCUCUCUCUCUCUCUCUCUUUCUCUCCAACUUUGAUUGGUUUUGAUUUCAGGUUCUUACUUGUGUUUGUUGAUAUUGUGAAAGAGAUAUGAAGAGGGUUAGAGAAGAGGUUUACGCCUAAGCUCAGACAUGAGGACAUACAUUUCCUCUCGUGUUAAAAUUUUAUGGGAAAUGGUGCAGGAGGAGAUCCGUGUUUCAUCAUUAAAAGGCUAAGACAAAGAAACAUGUUUUACCCAGAAGAUUGAAGUAGAGCUGUCUCGCUCUCUGUAACUUAAUACUACUUAUUAUACUGUAUUCUGUCGUCGAGAGAGCCCACCUAGGAAGAAGAAUACAGUGUGUUUCCGGCGAUGGAGAGGAGGAGGAAGAGGAGUGGUGUGGAGAGAAUCGAUGAAGCUGAUGAUUAGAUGUAUAAUUGUAACAGUGAGAAGAUUCACAUUGAUUAUAGAUUGAACGCUAAAAGGGCUGAGAGAUUGUCUUUGCCUGCUUCAAUUGAGAGUUUGGUGUAGUCACUUGAGAAAGAGAAGCAGAGGAACGAGAAGCUUUAUUUACUAGCAUUGAGUUAGUUUAACUUUUUUUUUGGUUUUGUUUAUGACUAGAUUUGAUGGUUAUAUGUUCCAUUAUGGAGUUCAUGUGUUUCAUUUAUUGAUUUUGUAUGUUUUGAAUCUUUAAUGGAAAAGCAUAUGUUAUUUUAUGA